AACGCUGAAGGCAUCUAAGCGUGAAGCCCCCCUCAAGAUGAGAUAUCCAUGAAGACUUGUUCUUCUAAGACCCCUUAGAGACUAUGAGGUAGAUAGGAAUGAGGUGUAAGCACAGCAAUGUGUUCAGCUGACAUUUACUAAUCGGUCGAGCGCUUAACCAAA
This 162-nucleotide ribosomal RNA is filed under the name Lachnospiraceae bacterium. Its description in RNAcentral is "partial 23S ribosomal RNA". It matches the Rfam family "Bacterial large subunit ribosomal RNA", at positions 2767 to 2925 of the family's 2925-position model. Lineage: Bacteria; Bacillati; Bacillota; Clostridia; Lachnospirales; Lachnospiraceae. The record is from RNAcentral.